GGUUAAGCGACUAAGCGUACACGGUGGAUGCCUAGGCAAUCAGAGGCGAUGAAGGACGUGCUAAUCUGCGAAAAGCGUCGGUAAGGUGAUAUGAACCGUUAUAACCGACGAUGUCCGAAUGGGGAAACCCAGUGCAAUUCGUUGCACUAUCGUUUGAUGAAUCCAUAGUCAAACGAGGCGAACCGGGGGAACUGAAACAUCUCAGUACCCCGAGGAAAAGAAAUCAACCGAGAUUCCCCUAGUAGCGGCGAGCGAACGGGGAGCAGCCCAGAGUCUUAAUCAGCAUCAGCAUCAGGAGAACGGUCUGGAAAGGCCGGCAAUAAAGGGUGAUAGCCCCGUAUCCGAAGGUGUUGGUGUUGUGAACUCGACGAGUAGGGCGGGACACGUGUUAUCCUGUCUGAAUAUGGGGGGACCAUCCUCCAAGGCUAAAUACUCCUGAUUGACCGAUAGUGAACCAGUACCGUGAGGGAAAGGCGAAAAGAACCCCGGCGAGGGGAGUGAAAUAGAACCUGAAACCGUGUACGUACAAGCAGUGGGAGCCUUGAUUUAUCAGGGUGACUGCGUACCUUUUGUAUAAUGGGUCAGCGACUUAUAUUCUGUAGCAAGGUUAACCGAAUAGGGGAGCCGUAGGGAAACCGAGUCUUAACUGGGCGAAUGAGUUGCAGGGUAUAGACCCGAAACCCGGUGAUCUAGCCAUGGGCAGGUUGAAGGUUGGGUAACACUAACUGGAGGACCGAACCGACUAAUGUUGAAAAAUUAGCGGAUGACUUGUGGCUGGGGGUGAAAGGCCAAUCAAACCGGGAGAUAGCUGGUUCUCCCCGAAAGCUAUUUAGGUAGCGCCUCGUGAACUCAUCUUCGGGGGUAGAGCACUGUUUCGGCUAGGGGGUCAUCCCGACUUACCAACCCGAUGCAAACUACGAAUACCGAAGAAUGUUAUCACGGGAGACACACGGCGGGUGCUAACGUUCGUCGUGAAGAGGGAAACAACCCAGACCGCCAGCUAAGGUCCCAAAGUCAUGGUUAAGUGGGAAACGAAGUGGGAAGGCUCAGACAGCCAGGAUGUUGGCUUAGAAGCAGCCAUCAUUUAAAGAAAGCGUAAUAGCUCACUGGUCGAGUCGGCCUGCGCGGAAGAUGUAACGGGGCUAAACCAUGCACCGAAGCUGCGGCAGCGACAUUUAGAUGUUGUUGGGUAGGGGAGCGUUCUGUAAGCCUGUGAAGGUGUGCUGCGAGGCAUGCUGGAGGUAUCAGAAGUGCGAAUGCUGACAUAAGUAACGAUAAUGCGGGUGAAAAACCCGCACGCCGGAAGACCAAGGGUUCCUGUCCAACGUUAAUCGGGGCAGGGUGAGUCGACCCCUAAGGCGAGGCAGAAAUGCGUAGUCGAUGGGAAACAGGUUAAUAUUCCUGUACUGGUGAUAAUUGCGAUGGGGGGACGGAGAAGGCUAGGCUGGCCGGGCGACGGUUGUCCCGGUUUAAGGAUGUAGGUGGGUGAAUUAGGCAAAUCCGGUUCGCUAUACACUGAGGUCUGAUGACGAGUCACUACGGUGGCGAAGUAGCUCAUGCCCCGCUUCCAGGAAAAGCCUCUAAGCUCUAGAUUAUCAUUAAUCGUACCCCAAACCGACACAGGUGGUCAGGUAGAGAAUACUCAGGCGCUUGAGAGAACUCGGGUGAAGGAACUAGGCAAAAUGGUGCCGUAACUUCGGGAGAAGGCACGCUGGCAUUAGGUGAAGUGGUUUACCCAUGGAGCUGAAGCCAGUCGCAGAUACCAGCUGGCUGCAACUGUUUAUUAAAAACACAGCACUGUGCAAACACGAAAGUGGACGUAUACGGUGUGACGCCUGCCCGGUGCUGGAAGGUUAAUUGAUGGGGUUAUCCGUAAGGAGAAGCUCUUGAUCGAAGCCCCAGUAAACGGCGGCCGUAACUAUAACGGUCCUAAGGUAGCGAAAUUCCUUGUCGGGUAAGUUCCGACCUGCACGAAUGGCGUAAUGAUGGCCAGGCUGUCUCCACCCGAGACUCAGUGAAAUUGAACUCGCUGUGAAGAUGCAGUGUACCCGCGGCAAGACGGAAAGACCCCGUGAACCUUUACUAUAGCUUGACACUGAACAUUGAGCCUUGAUGUGUAGGAUAGGUGGGAGGCUUUGAAGUGUGGACGCCAGUCUGCAUGGAGCCAACCUUGAAAUACCACCCUUUAAUGUUUGAUGUUCUAACGUUGCCCCAUAAUCUGGGGUGCGGACAGUGUCUGGUGGGUAGUUUGACUGGGGCGGUCUCCUCCCAAAGCGUAACGGAGGAGCACGAAGGUUGGCUAAGCAUGGUCGGACAUCAUGCGGUUAGUGCAAAGGCAUAAGCCAGCUUGACUGCGAGAGUGACGGCUCGAGCAGGUACGAAAGUAGGUCUUAGUGAUCCGGUGGUUCUGAAUGGAAGGGCCAUCGCUCAACGGAUAAAAGGUACUCCGGGGAUAACAGGCUGAUACCGCCCAAGAGUUCAUAUCGACGGCGGUGUUUGGCACCUCGAUGUCGGCUCAUCACAUCCUGGGGCUGAAGUAGGUCCCAAGGGUAUGGCUGUUCGCCAUUUAAAGUGGUACGCGAGCUGGGUUUAGAACGUCGUGAGACAGUUCGGUCCCUAUCUGCCGUGGGCGUUGGAAGAUUGAAAGGGGCUGCUCCUAGUACGAGAGGACCGGAGUGGACGCACCGCUGGUGUUCGGGUUGUCAUGCCAAUGGCACUGCCCGGUAGCUAAGUGCGGAAGAGAUAACCGCUGAAAGCAUCUAAGCGGGAAACUUGCCUUGAGAUGAGUCUUCCCUGACUCUUUAAGGGUCCUAAAGGAACGUUUAAGACGAAGACGUUGAUAGGCUGGGUGUGUAAGCGUAGCGAUACGUUGAGCUAACCAGUACUAAUGAACCGUGAGGCUUAACCU
RNAcentral lists this ribosomal RNA (2908 nucleotides) under Providencia stuartii. RNAcentral's name for it is "23S ribosomal RNA". It matches the Rfam family "Bacterial large subunit ribosomal RNA". The record is from RNAcentral. RNAcentral also lists the same sequence under 1 other name. Lineage: Bacteria; Pseudomonadati; Pseudomonadota; Gammaproteobacteria; Enterobacterales; Morganellaceae.